UUAAAUUAAAAGAUCUGUUCAUUAUUUCAUUCGCUCUCUCUCCCCGUUAAUCCCAAUUGAAGAAUGGCGAUUAGAGGUCUAAAAAAACUCUAGAUAAAUUCCAACACUUUCCUUCGAUUCUUACUAGAUUUAUCACUGAAAUCAUCUCUUGCUUCAUAUACUAUGUGUUCUAUAGUUAUUUACGGUUGGUUUGCGGAAGUUAUCAAUUAUGAUUUGAAGAUUCGAGUUGGUUUUUUGGGAAGACUGUCAACAACUAAUAUUAUUGGACUAUUUAUGACUCAAGGGGUAUUAUUUUUCCCUUUAUGUAGCAUGCAUUGAUCAGUUUUAGGGUUUUUGAAAUUCUCUCUAAAUUUAGGAUUUUUUUGGGGUUUUCUUUGAAUAUUAUGUCAACUUUUG
RNAcentral lists this long non-coding RNA (396 nucleotides) under Nicotiana benthamiana. RNAcentral describes it as "long non-coding RNA (NBEN_LNC020018)". The record is from RNAcentral. Lineage: Eukaryota; Viridiplantae; Streptophyta; Magnoliopsida; Solanales; Solanaceae.